Pongo abelii (Sumatran orangutan) is the source of this 148-nucleotide unclassified non-coding RNA. It matches the Rfam family "Metazoan signal recognition particle RNA". Rfam says of the family: The signal recognition particle (SRP) is a universally conserved ribonucleoprotein. It is involved in the co-translational targeting of proteins to membranes. Lineage: Eukaryota; Metazoa; Chordata; Mammalia; Primates; Hominidae. The record is from Ensembl.
GCUGGGUGUGGUGGUGCACGCCUGUAGUCCCAGCUACUUGGGAAGCUGAGGCAUGAGGAUCACUUGAGCCCAGGAGGUUGAGGCUGCAGUGAGUCAUGAUCACACAGCUGCACUCCAGCCUGGGCAACAGAGUGAGACCCUGUCUCAA